GCUAAUAGCCAGCAGCUUGGUCUCUGCAACUCUCACAUAUCUGCUCACUGAAGCUAAACAGGGCUGCACCUGGUCAGUACCUGGAAAGGAGACCACAUAGAAAAGCUAGGUUGCUAACGGAA
This 122-nucleotide ribosomal RNA is filed under the name Danio rerio (zebrafish). The record is from RNAcentral. Lineage: Eukaryota; Metazoa; Chordata; Actinopteri; Cypriniformes; Danionidae.